This 497-nucleotide ribosomal RNA is filed under the name uncultured bacterium. RNAcentral's name for it is "partial 16S ribosomal RNA". It matches the Rfam family "Bacterial small subunit ribosomal RNA", at positions 28 to 507 of the family's 1533-position model. The record is from RNAcentral.
GAUGAACGCUGGCGGCGUGCCUAAUACAUGCAAGUAGAACGCUGAAGGAAGGAGCUUGCUCUUUCCGGAUGAGUUGCGAACGGGUGAGUAACGCGUAGGUAACCUGCCUGGUAGCGGGGGAUAACUAUUGGAAACGAUAGCUAAUACCGCAUAACAGUAGAUGUUGCAUGAUAUCUACUUAAAAGGUGCAAUUGCACCACUACCAGAUGGACCUGCGUUGUAUUAGCUAGUUGGUGAGGUAACGGCUCACCAAGGCGACGAUACAUAGCCGACCUGAGAGGGUGAUCGGCCACACUGGGACUGAGACACGGCCCAGACUCCUACGGGAGGCAGCAGUAGGGAAUCUUCGGCAAUGGACGGAAGUCUGACCGAGCAACGCCGCGUGAGUGAAGAAGGUGUUCGGAUCGUAAAGCUCUGUUGUAAGAGAAGAACGAGUGUGAGAGUGGAAAGUUCACACUGUGACGGUAUCUUACCAGAAAGGGACGGCUAACUACGUG